This 77-nucleotide transfer RNA is filed under the name Candidatus Sumerlaeota bacterium. RNAcentral describes it as "tRNA-Arg". It matches the Rfam family "tRNA". From Rfam's summary of the family: Transfer RNA (tRNA) molecules are approximately 80 nucleotides in length. The record is from RNAcentral. Lineage: Bacteria; Candidatus Sumerlaeota.
GCGCCCGUAGCUCAAUUGGAUAGAGUGUCUGGCUACGGACCAGAAGGUUAGGGGUUCGACUCCCUUCGGGCGUACCA